Molecule: ribosomal RNA, 253 nt
Filed under: uncultured bacterium
Lineage: Bacteria
Description: partial 16S ribosomal RNA
Rfam family: Bacterial small subunit ribosomal RNA
Source: RNAcentral
UACGUAGGGUGCAAGCGUUAAUCGGAACUACUGGGCGUAAAGCGUGCGCAGGCGGUUCUAUAAGACAGAUGUGAAAUCCCCGGGCUCAACCUGGGAACUGCAUUUGUGACUGUAGAGCUGGAGUGCGGCAGAGGGGGAUGGAAUUCCGCGUGUAGCAGUGAAAUGCGUAGAUAUGCGGAGGAACACCGAUGGCGAAGGCAAUCCCCUGGGCCUGCACUGACGCUCAUGCACGAAAGCGUGGGGAGCAAACAGG